UUGGGUGCUGCAAAGUAUAAUAAUAAUAAGCAAGUACAGCAUGGGUAGCAGCAGUGCAAGCUUCCACAAAAGGCCCCACCAGUAUGCUUCAACCCUGUCUAGAGGGAGCACUUUCAGAGAAUACUAUUAAUUUAGUCUCUAAGCCUUUUUAAAU
This 154-nucleotide small RNA is filed under the name Gopherus agassizii (Agassiz's desert tortoise). RNAcentral's name for it is "TUC338 (ENSGAGG00000006081.1)". Lineage: Eukaryota; Metazoa; Chordata; Testudines; Testudinidae. The record is from RNAcentral.